This 468-nucleotide ribosomal RNA is filed under the name uncultured bacterium. RNAcentral's name for it is "partial 16S ribosomal RNA". It matches the Rfam family "Bacterial small subunit ribosomal RNA", at positions 28 to 507 of the family's 1533-position model. The record is from RNAcentral.
GACGAACGCUGGCGGCGUGCUUAACACAUGCAAGUCGAACGGAAAGGCCCUGCUUUUGUGGGGUGCUCGCGUCGCGAGCGGGUGAGUAACACGUGAGUAACCUGCCCUUGACGUUGGGAUAUCUUCAGGAAACUGGGGCUAAUGCCGGAUAGCAGCUCCUGCUGCUUGGUGGGGGUUGGAACGUUUAGGCGGUGUGGGAUCGACGGGGGGCUUAUCAGCUGGUUGGUGGAGUAGUGGCUUACCAAGGCUUUGGCGGAUAGCCGGCCUGGGAGGGUGAACGGCGACAUGGGUCCUGAGGGACGGCGCAGACGGCAACGGGAGGCAGAAGGCGGAAGUAUUGCACAGUGGGGCGAAGCCUGUUGAGACAGUGCCCCGUGCGGGAAGACGGCCUAGGGGUGGUAAAGCGCUGUCAGCUGUGACGAAGCGUGAUUGACGGUAAUAGGUAAAGAAGCACCGGCUAACUACGUG